Molecule: long non-coding RNA, 154 nt
Organism: Octopus sinensis (East Asian common octopus)
Lineage: Eukaryota; Metazoa; Mollusca; Cephalopoda; Octopoda; Octopodidae
Exons: 3
Source: RefSeq, a predicted model, not a curated record
UAUAUAUAUAUAUGUGUGUAUGUGUGUGUGUGUAUAUGUUUGUUGUGGGUAGUGGGUAACGAUUUUCUUCACUACCUCAGGGAGUGACAACUCUGCCUGACACGAGUCCCAGGCUCAGCUGGCUCCAGCUGACAGUACCCGGUAUUGGCCCCUA